UUCCAUCCACCACUUCAUGGUAGAUGCUGAACUGCGAGAGGUCCAGGUCUGGGAGAACGCAUUUGAUUUGCUCGAGUGCUAGCUCGAAUCCGUCUGUAAGGGCAUCAGCACCCACAUUCAUCAAAUCAGCCUUCUCCACCUCCAGUUCUUGCUUUGAAGCCUCCGCAGCAUCUCUCUCAGUGGUGACGGCAGCAAGGGAGGAGGCAGCUUCAGACAGUUUGCCCACCACCUCCUCAAGUCUUUUCUCCCC
This 250-nucleotide long non-coding RNA is filed under the name Phaseolus vulgaris (common bean). Its description in RNAcentral is "long non-coding RNA (PVUL_LNC000744)". The record is from RNAcentral. Lineage: Eukaryota; Viridiplantae; Streptophyta; Magnoliopsida; Fabales; Fabaceae.